GGGCCCGCACAAGCGGUGGAGCAUGUGGUUUAAUUCGAAGCAACGCGAAGAACCUUACCAGGUCUUGACAUCCCUCUGACCGUCCUAGAGAUAGAGCUUCCCCUUCGGGGGCAAAGUGACAGGUGGUGCAUGGUUGUCGUCAGCUCGUGUCGUGAGAUGUUGGGUUAAGUCCCGCAACGAGCGCAACCCUUAUUGUUAGUUGCCAUCAUUUAGUUGGGCACUCUAGCAAGACUGCCGGUGACAAACCGGAGGAAGGUGGGG
RNAcentral lists this ribosomal RNA (261 nucleotides) under uncultured prokaryote. RNAcentral describes it as "partial 16S ribosomal RNA". It matches the Rfam family "Bacterial small subunit ribosomal RNA", at positions 917 to 1178 of the family's 1533-position model. The record is from RNAcentral.